AAUUACGUGCCAGCANCCGCGUUAAUACGUAGGGUGCAAGCGUUGUCCGGAAUUAUUGGGCGUAAAGAGUUCGUAGGCGUUUGNUCGCGUCGGCUGUGAAAACCCGGAGUUCAACUCCGGGCCUGCAGUCGAUACGGGCCGACUUGAGUGUUGCAGGGGAGACUGGAAUUCCUGGUGUAGCGGUGAAAUGCGCAGAUAUCAGGAGGAACACCGGUGGCGAAGGCGGNUUUCUGGGCAACAACUGACGCUGAGGAGCGAAAGCGUGGGGAGCGAACAGGAUUAGAUACCCUGGUAGUCCACGCCGUAAACGUUGGGCGCUAGGUGUGGGGGCCAUUACCACGGCAUCCGUGCCGCAGCUAACGCAUUAAGCGCCCCGC
Molecule: ribosomal RNA, 377 nt
Filed under: uncultured bacterium #0319-7E11
Lineage: Bacteria; Bacillati; Actinomycetota; Actinomycetes
Description: bacterial SSU rRNA
Rfam family: Bacterial small subunit ribosomal RNA
Source: RNAcentral